RNAcentral lists this long non-coding RNA (560 nucleotides) under Coccomyxa subellipsoidea. RNAcentral's name for it is "long non-coding RNA (CSUB_LNC000495)". Lineage: Eukaryota; Viridiplantae; Chlorophyta; Trebouxiophyceae; Coccomyxaceae. The record is from RNAcentral.
CUGCGCUGAGACACUCGCAAGAUUCUCUACUUUCUCCUCUGUUAAUGCCUGCAUAAUUAAGCAGCACAUGCUGGUGACGACAGCUCUGAUGAGAGUCCUCCUGGAGAAGCAUCAGGUUGAAUUUGACACAAACAUCAUUGUGAGGUGUUGCCAGCCCAAGAAGGUUGCACAGGCUGCUCACAAGGCGUCCGAGGAAGCUGUUGAGGUCCUCUGCUCGAACAGCCUUGCAGUCCAAUGCGUCCAUGAGAUGGCGAUCAGAUUGCUGGGGAGGCCCAGGAGCAUUCUGCUGCCUUGACAGGAACUCAGCCAGCUGCGCUUCCAGGGCAGCAAUGCGACCCUCAUGCUCCAGCUGGCCUGGGGAUAAAUAGAACAAGCUAGCUUGAGCAGAGUGAUAAGCUUCAAGAACGUCCAGCUGACAUCUACAUAUCCAAAUACAGGGAUGCCAAUAAGGUCUUGGUCACCUGGAACCUCUCUGACAUUGCCAACGGGCUCCUGCGGGGUCUCUUCAUGAGUUGCCAAUGCUACUGGCACUGCAUUGUUCUUGCUUCCAGCUUGCCCCU